Molecule: long non-coding RNA, 891 nt
Organism: Lycium barbarum (goji berry)
Lineage: Eukaryota; Viridiplantae; Streptophyta; Magnoliopsida; Solanales; Solanaceae
Exons: 2
Source: RefSeq, a predicted model, not a curated record
AAGAACGAAAUGAGCCCUAAUCUUCAACUAGUUGACAGCGUGCUCCAGCAUUUCUACAGCUAUAAGCGCCCUCUUUAGCAAAGAUUUUCUUCGGCUCAGAUUUCUCAGACCUUGCUCGUCCAUAAAUGGCAAUUUCUUUAUGGCGUUUUGCCUUCUAGCUCGUCCAAAUAGACGAAGUUGACCCCCUCAAACGGUUACUUCUGAUUUCCUCUCUCUUUUCCCAGUUCUUUUCACUUUUUCGGGUACAAAGCCAUUAAUGGCCUUUGUCUUCACAGAAAAAUUUCAAAAAAAUACAUAGAUAAUUCAUUUCAAAUCUAGAUUUCAAUUGAAAACUAUUUCAAAUCUGAAUUUCAUAGUCCCGCAUCGUUUUGAGACUAAAACCCUAGCCAUUUGGGGUUCUAUAAAUAGAACCCCAAUUCUUCAUUUCCAGACAAGGUUUACACACCACUACUUGGUUAAAAAAGACACCUUGAGUCUGAACUUUGAGUUCCUUGGUGUUUUAAAGUUCAAAUUUUUUUAUUUUUUUUCUUUCGAAUAUCGUCUCGUCGUGGUUGGUGAAAGGUGAUUCGUCAACUCUCGUCGGCCCCGUCGCUGCUCCGAAAAAGGUAUAGAGAGACAGACAGGUGGUCCAGCUCAGUAGGACCUCUAGAUCUAGCAGUGGUCAGUACGCUCCAUUUGAUCUGGAGCUACAUUCAGUUUUGGUAUGCCCCUUUUUGGAUGUCUAUACAUAUGGGUAUGACGGGGUCCUGUCCCGUCCUUUCUACAGCUUUUAUUCUAGUAGAGGUCUGUAGACAGUUGUAUGUAGUAGUCAGAUGAUGUAGCCUUGUCGGCUUCUAUUCUUUUGUGUACAAUAUAUGUAGCAGCCUAGCUGGCUUGCACUGUUCUUCCUCA